CCUACGGGUGGCAGCAGUGAGGAAUAUUGGUCAAUGGACGAGAGUCUGAACCAGCCAAGUAGCGUGAAGGAUGACUGCCCUAUGGGUUGUAAACUUCUUUUAUAUGGGAAUAAAAUGUUCCACGUGUGGGAUUUUGUAUGUACCAUAUGAAUAAGGAUCGGCUAACUCCGUGCCAGCAGCCGCGGUAAUACGGAGGAUCCGAGCGUUAUCCGGAUUUAUUGGGUUUAAAGGGAGCGUAGGUGGAUUGUUAAGUCAGUUGUGAAAGUUUGCGGCUCAACCGUAAAAUUGCAGUUGAAACUGGCAGUCGUGAGUACAGUAGAGGUGGGCGGAAUUCGUGGUGUAGCUGUGAAAUGCUUAGAUAUCACGAAGAACGCCGAUUGCGAAGGCAGCUCACUGGACUGCAACUGACACUGAGGCUCGAAAGUGUGGGUAUCAAACAGGAUUAGAUACCCGAGUAGUC
This 460-nucleotide ribosomal RNA is filed under the name uncultured bacterium. RNAcentral's name for it is "partial 16S ribosomal RNA". It matches the Rfam family "Bacterial small subunit ribosomal RNA", at positions 338 to 795 of the family's 1533-position model. The record is from RNAcentral.